GCCUAGCCUUAAACAUCGAUAGCAACUUACACCUGCUAUACGCCUGGGAACUACGAGCACCAGCUUGAAACCCAAAGGACUUGGCGGUGCUUUAGAUCCACCUAGAGGAGCCUGUUCUAGAACCGAUAACCCCCGUUCAACCUCACCUUUCCUUGUUUUUCCCGCCUAUAUACCACCGUCGUCAGCUUACCCUGUGAAGGCCUAAUAGUAAGCAAAAUUGGCAUAGCCCAAAACGUCAGGUCGAGGUGUAGCGUAUGGAAGGGGAAGAAAUGGGCUACAUUCCCUUAUCCAGGGAAUACGAACGAUAAACUGAAAUGUUCAUCCAAAGGAGGAUUUAGCAGUAAGUAGAAAAUAGAGUGUCCUACUGAAAAUGGCCCUGAAGCGCGC
Molecule: ribosomal RNA, 387 nt
Filed under: Micropterus dolomieu (smallmouth bass)
Lineage: Eukaryota; Metazoa; Chordata; Actinopteri; Centrarchiformes; Centrarchidae
Description: partial small subunit ribosomal RNA
Rfam family: Bacterial small subunit ribosomal RNA
Source: RNAcentral